GAUCAUGGCUCAGGAUGAACGCUAGCGGCAGGCUUAACACAUGCAAGUCGAGGGGAAACGACAUCGAAAGCUUGCUUUUGAUGGGCGUCGACCGACGCACGGGUGAGUAACGCGUAUCCAACCUGCCCACCACUUGGGGAUAACCUUGCGAAAGUAAGACUAAUACCCAAUGAUAUCUCUAGAAGACAUCUGAAAGAGAUUAAAGAUUCAUCGGUGAUGGAUGGGGAUGCGU
RNAcentral lists this ribosomal RNA (232 nucleotides) under uncultured bacterium. RNAcentral describes it as "partial 16S ribosomal RNA". It matches the Rfam family "Bacterial small subunit ribosomal RNA", at positions 15 to 236 of the family's 1533-position model. The record is from RNAcentral.